CCGGGUUAAUAAACCAAUCAAUACGGGUUUGACUUUUAGUUUAAGUCAAUAGAGUGCAACUUCUUUAUACUUGGUUCCACUCUAUUGCAUGCAUAGGUUAUUUAUGGCAAAGGUUUGUUUGUUCCAACUUCAUUCAAAUACAGCGACAUUAGAAGUUCACUUGAAGCUGAGAGCAAAGUGCCAAUUCUCCUGUUAAGAUGAAUAGCAAGUUGAUCGUGAUUGUGCUGAUACUGGUUUUGCUAACAACUCUUCAUGAAAGCGAUGCCUGGCGAAGACGAAGAAGAGCUGGACUUCUUCAUAAAAAAUCCAAAAACCCGUUGCCAAUGAGAAAGGAAGAUGCUAAACCCAAACACACUGAUGACCGAAARUAUGAAGACGAGAUCAUGGAGGAUUUGAUGAAGGAAUUAGAUCAAACGGACCUCUGAAAGUCUCGAGUCUUUGUAAUAUGUUUAUUAUGACUCUCUAAGUAAAGGGAUUCAAUUUCAAUAAAGUGUAUUUUGUUUUCAAA
Molecule: long non-coding RNA, 508 nt
Organism: Exaiptasia diaphana
Lineage: Eukaryota; Metazoa; Cnidaria; Anthozoa; Actiniaria; Aiptasiidae
Exons: 3
Source: RefSeq, a predicted model, not a curated record